Long non-coding RNA from Rhododendron vialii, 380 nucleotides. RefSeq lists it as uncharacterized. The transcript is spliced from 3 exons. The record is from RefSeq and is a predicted model, not a curated record. NCBI's taxonomy places the organism in Eukaryota, Viridiplantae, Streptophyta, Magnoliopsida, Ericales, Ericaceae.
UGGCCUUUUCGGGCCCACUUUGAUGAUCCAAACUCAUUUCACGUCAAAAUUAAUUUAAUGAGAUACCGGUUCAUAUGAUUUCAAAACAAAUUAAUUAUCUCGGCAUAAAUGAAUUAAAUGGGUUCUGAUUCAGUAUUACAAUAACUAGUUUACAAAAUAAAUACGUUCUGUAUUCAUAUCAAAUAGUAUGUGAUCGACGUGAUUUGUGUUUGUUAUGAGCUCUAGAAAUUGGUCUAUUUCGAUGGACGGGAAAUGAUCGAUGUCCUAAAAAAAUAUAGGUACAUGUUUGUAAAGAUAGAUAUGCCUCUGUUUGGUCUCCUCUUUGAUUGAUUUGUCAGAAAUCUCUUGUUUCUUUAGGCAAGCAAGAGAGGCCUGCUCAG